UGAGUACUUACUGCAUACAACGCACCACGCCCCGAAGGUACAGGGUGAAGAAGACACAGUCCCAUCCCCCAGAGAGACAGAUAGUAAGCAGAAAAGUGACAAUACCACAUGCUCGUCAAGGUUGGGAACUCAGAUGAAGGCAGGCGCAUCUUCCCUGGGGUAACUCGAGAAGCUUCGCGUCAGAGGCAGCAUUUGAGCUGAGGCUUUUUUUGUUGUUGUUAGUGAGUUUUUUUUCUUCUUCUUCUUCUCCCCAAAGCCCCCCACUACAUAGUUGUGCAUCCUAGUUGUGGGUCCUUCUAGUUGUGGCGUAUGGGACGCCACCUCAGUGUGGCCUGAUGAGCAGUGCCAUGUCUGCGCCCAGGAUCCAAACCCGCAAAACCCUGGGCCACUGAUCAGAGCACAUGAACUUAACCACUCGGCCACGGGGCCGGCCCCUGAGCUGAGUCUUAAGAGGUGCACGGGCAGAGGGAACAGCGUCAGGCAGGGACCAGCAUGUUCAGAGCAACCGUGCACAGCAGCAGUGGCAGGAGAAUUAGACCCGGAGAGGAGAGGCAGACGGGAGUCAUAUUGUGGAAACAUGCCUGCCCAACUCAGAAAUUUAGACUUUUUACUCUAGACAAAAUAUUUCCGAGCAGGGAGUGACAAGACCAUGGCAGCUCUUUUUUUUUUCUUUUUAAACAGUCAUUUUGUAGGUUAGAUGUGAAGAGCGAAAGCUUGAAGAUCAUCAACAGGCCAUUCGUUCAAGCCUGGGUGUGAGAAGCCGGAUCUGGGUGGUGGCUGUGAACAGAGAGGAAGGGACACCAGAAAGGAAGAAAGAAGGAGGAAUCCGAGGACCAACAGACUAUGAGGAAAGCAUCUGACAUGAAAACAGAGACCCACACAAACGGACGAAAGCAGCUGGGAGGACACUGCUGGGCAGAUGGAAGAAAAGUUUUUAAAAAAUCAUUUAUUCCAAGAGAAAUAUGAUCUUGCACCCAUGAAAUAAGAAUAAGAUGCUUUAAAAAUGAACACUCAGAGCCCAAAAUGAGGUCUUAGAAAUUAAAAAUAGAACAGAAGUGAAAAUUAAACAGGAAGGCUGGAAGUUAAAGAUAUCCUCCCCAAACUACAGAAAACAAAAUGAC
Long non-coding RNA from Equus caballus (horse), 1121 nucleotides. Lineage: Eukaryota; Metazoa; Chordata; Mammalia; Perissodactyla; Equidae. The record is from Ensembl.